AAUGAACGUUGGCGGCAUGGAUUAGGCAUGCAAGUCGAGCGAGAAGGGUUUUGAAGCUUGCUUUAGAACCCGGAAAGCGGCGCAAGGGAGAGUAACGAGUAGUUAUCUACCCCAAGGCCCGGAAUAGCUGCGGGAAACUGCAGGUAAUGCCGGAUAAUAUCCCCGGAUCAAAGGUGUGAUUCCGCCUUGGGAGGAGACUGCUUUGUACUAGCUAGUUGGUAGGGUAAUGGCCUACCAAGGCUACGAUGCAUAGCGGGCGUGAGAGCGUGGCCCGUCUCACUGGGACUGAAACACUGCCCAGACACCUACGGGUGGCUGCAGUCGAGAAUCUUCGGCAAUGGGCGAAAGCCUGACCGAGCGAUGCCGCGUGCGGGAUGAAGGCCCUCGGGUUGUAAACCGCUGUCGUAGAGGAGAAAGGUCUGAUGAAGAAUCAGAUUUGAUCUAUUCUAGGAGGAAGUCGGGGCUAACUACGUGCCAGCAGCCGCCGUAA
Molecule: ribosomal RNA, 490 nt
Filed under: uncultured bacterium
Lineage: Bacteria
Description: partial 16S ribosomal RNA
Rfam family: Bacterial small subunit ribosomal RNA
Source: RNAcentral